This 1186-nucleotide long non-coding RNA is filed under the name Betta splendens (Siamese fighting fish). RNAcentral describes it as "lncRNA (ENSBSLG00000015498.1)". The record is from RNAcentral. Lineage: Eukaryota; Metazoa; Chordata; Actinopteri; Anabantiformes; Osphronemidae.
UUCUGAAGUUGGAUCUAGUUUUGAAACUGGAUCUGGUUCUGAAGCUAAUUUUGAAACUGGAACUGGGUCUGGUUCUAGAGCUGGAUUUGGAUCUAGAUUUUAAGCUAGAUCUGAAUCUGAGGCUAGAUCUGGUUUUGAACCUGGAUCUGGAUCUGAAGCUGGAUCUGGAUCUAGAUUUGAAGCUGGAUCUGGAUCUGAAGUUGGAUCUGGUUUUGAAACUGGAUCUGGUUCUGAAGCUAAUUUUGAAACUGGAACUGGGUCUGGAUCUGAAGCUGGAUUUGGAUCUAGAUUUUAAGAUAGAUCUGAAUCUGAGGCUGGAUCUGGUUUUGAACCUGGAUCUGGAUCUGAAGCUGAAUCUGGAUCUAGAUUUGAAGCUGGAUCUGGAUCUGAAGCUGGAUCUGGAUCUAGAUUUGAAGCUGGAUCUGGAUCUGAAGUUGAAUAUGGUUUUGAAACUGGAUCUGGUUCUGAAGCUAAUUUUGAAACUGGAGCUGGGUCUGGAUCUGAAGCUGGAUUUGGAUCUAGAUUUUAAGGUAGAUCUGAAUCUGAGGCUGGAUCUGGUUUUGAACCUGGAUCUGGAUCUGAAGCUGGAUCUGGGUCUAGAUUUGAAGCUGGAUCUAGAUCCGGUUUUGAACCUGGAUCUGGUUCUGAAGCUAAUUUUGAAACUGGAACUGGAUCUGGAUCUGAAGCUGGAUCUGGAUGUAGAUUUGAAGCUGGAUCUGUUGUGUAUGUGUGUGUGUGUUGGUGUCCUUCCUCUGGUCAACGCAGCUCAAAUGGAGCUUUGUUGUAGGUUCACAUCCAGUUAAAAAGAAACACCAUCUGGCACUAAAACACAGCAGAGAUUUAAUACAACAGAUUGGAGAGAGAGAGGGCGGGGGGGGGGCGAGAGAGAGGGAGAGUGUGUGUGUGUGUGUGUGUGUGUGUGUGUGUGUGUGUGUGUGUGUGUGUGUGUGUGUGUGUGUGUGUGUAAUCUGGAUUGCAGCUUUGUUGUCAUACAAAUGUGUGUAAACACUGAUCACUGAGCUUGAUGUGUCGCAGCCUGUAAAUCUGACUUGAACCACAUUCACACAUAUGUUGAACAUAGUAAAACAUUAAACAUUUGACUGAACUCAUUUAAAUGAAUCUGAUGGGAUAAGGAGAGGAAGCCUGGAGAAUACACACAGAUGGGUUCUUACAUUAGAACCGGGGG